GUCCAUGCCGUAAACGUUGGGAACUAGAUGUGGGGACCAUUCCACGGUCUCCGUGUCGCAGCUAACGCAUUAAGUUCCCCGCCUGGGGAGUACGGCCGCAAGGCUAAAACUCAAAGGAAUUGACGGGGGCCCGCACAAGCGGCGGAGCAUGCGGAUUAAUUCGAUGCAACGCGAAGAACCUUACCAAGACUUGACAUAUACGAGAACGCUGCAGAAAUGUAGAACUCUUUGGACACUCGUAAACAGGUGGUGCAUGGUUGUCGU
Molecule: ribosomal RNA, 264 nt
Filed under: uncultured bacterium
Lineage: Bacteria
Description: partial 16S ribosomal RNA
Rfam family: Bacterial small subunit ribosomal RNA
Source: RNAcentral